GCUCACACUGGGGCUCGAAAUCGACGCACUCAUUGGCCGAAAGCGCAGUCUCUCCGGGCGAAACUCGGUUUGGGUCGGGUUAUUCAGGUCCAAGUGGAAAGAGGGCGGGCUCUGCCAGCUCCAGUAGUCGUAUAUGAUUGCCUGGCCUUGGGACAGCUCCUCUUUCCAUUGGGUAAGGCCUCCGUCCAUCACCAUAGAGUCGCGGCCUCCCUCUUCUAUUUCUCCGAGGAAAGCUUCGGCCACAGGAGGGAGAAAGCCAGACCCGGCGGGAGGGAGGCGGUGAAUGCGCGCGCACCGCCAUCCCUCUCCCCUCCCGCCCCGCGAGGCCUGCGGUUACCAAGGCGACGAAACUUUAUUGACAGCUCUGCCUGGCUACAAAGGGCUCCUCAGUCUCUCUCCCUCCCUCCCCGUUUACACCGUUGCGUUUUGGGAGUAUCCACACGCACUCUGUGGGACCUUCCCGCGAUAUGAACGGGGUCGGAUGGAGGGAGGGGAGGCUGAGGGAGGAGUGGGGACUUUUGAGACAAGCCCUGACUCCUGGGGCGCUCCCCUGGGGCACCCCCUAAUUGGGAUCACCCCCCCUACCUCAAUCCUAGAGGCAAACGUAACUAACAAUUCAUCAUAAUUACGCCGAG
RNAcentral lists this long non-coding RNA (635 nucleotides) under Homo sapiens (human). RNAcentral describes it as "HSALNT0262469". The record is from RNAcentral. Lineage: Eukaryota; Metazoa; Chordata; Mammalia; Primates; Hominidae.